This 447-nucleotide ribosomal RNA is filed under the name uncultured bacterium. RNAcentral describes it as "SSU rRNA". It matches the Rfam family "Bacterial small subunit ribosomal RNA", at positions 26 to 518 of the family's 1533-position model. The record is from RNAcentral.
AGAACGAACGCUGGCGGCAGGCCUCAAACAUGCAAGUCUAGGGGACGUAGCAAUACGUCACCGGCGGACGGGUGCGUAACACGUGGGAAUGUACUUAUUGGUUCGGAACAACUCAGGGAAACUUGAGCUAAUACCGAAUGUGCCCGAAAGGGGAAAGAUUUAUCGCCAAUAAAUCAGCCCGCGUCCGAUUAGCUAGUUGGUGGGGUAAAGGCUCACCAAGGCGACGAUCGGUAGCUGUUCUGAGAGGAAGAUCAGCCACACUGGGACUGAGACACGGCCCAGACUCCUACGGGAGGCAGCAGUUGGGAAUCUUGGACAAUGGGGGAAACCCUGAUCCAGCCAUGCCGCGUGAGUGAUGAAGGCCUUAGGGUUGUAAAACUCUUUCGGCGGGGACGAUAAUGACGGUACCCGCAGAAGAGCUCCGGCUAACUUCGUGCCAGCAGCCGC